CUAUCAUCCGAGCCCGUGCUCAACACUCGGGCCUACCGUCCGAUGGGCAUUCUCCCGUGCUCAGCACUCAGGCCUAUCGUCCGAUGGGCAUUCUCCCGUGCCACUCAGGCCUAUCGUCCGAGCCGUGCUCAGCACUCAGGCUUAUCGUCCGAGCCCGUGCUCAGCACUCAGGCCUACCAUCCCAGCCCGUGCUCAGCACUCAGGCCUACCGUCCGAGCCCGUGCUCAGCACUCAGGCCUACCAUCCGAUGGGCAUUCUCCCGUGCUCAGCACUCAAGCCUACCGUCCGAGGGGCAUUCUCCAGCUUCUCUGAGUGGUUGCUUCCCUGAGGUUUGGGGUGAAGCCUUGAAACACUUAGCCAGCCAUCUUACUUUUCUGAAGGUCACCUGGUGCCCUCUGCAGGUCAACUGUUAAUCCCCCAAAGAGUAUCUGAACCAUCUCAUUCCCUUCAAGGCACAGAAAUAAGACUGACCUAAGCUAGCAGUCACUGUAAACUCCAUGAGCAGCCAAACCUCCAAGACUGACCAGCCUCAGAUGAAGGCUGUUGUCUUUAAGAACAAGGCUGCACCCUGGAGCCCAAGUCACCAUCCCUAAGGACUACUUUGCCCCCUCAAGCUAGAAGGACUUCUGCAGAGCGUCUUGUAGGACCAGAGAACCCAGACAAGGAUGAAAGAGCCCACACCUAGACCAUGCUUAACGAUACCUACCUCCUACUCCUUGUCCCAGUCCUACUUAAACCUAGAGUUGGCUCCAGCUCCCCCCAAAUGAACUUGCAGCCACUGGGCCCCUUAACUUGUUCCUCUUUGCACUGAAGCCCCAUUGAAUUAAUCUUCCAUUUUCUGCCA
Molecule: long non-coding RNA, 844 nt
Organism: Mastomys coucha (southern multimammate mouse)
Lineage: Eukaryota; Metazoa; Chordata; Mammalia; Rodentia; Muridae
Exons: 2
Source: RefSeq, a predicted model, not a curated record